Molecule: ribosomal RNA, 329 nt
Filed under: uncultured eukaryote
Lineage: Eukaryota
Description: partial 18S ribosomal RNA
Rfam family: Eukaryotic small subunit ribosomal RNA
Source: RNAcentral
CCCUUAGAUGUUCUGGGCCGCACGCGCGCUACACUGAUGCAUUCAACGAGUCUACAACCUGGUCUGAUAGGGCUGGGUAAUCUUUUGAAUGUGCAUCGUGAUUGGGAUAGAUGAUUGCAAUUCUUCAUCUUCAACGAGGAAUGCCUAGUAAACGCAAGUCAUCAGCUUGCAUUGAUUACGUCCCUGCCCUUUGUACACACCGCCCGUCGCUCCUACCGAUUGAAUGAUCCGAUGAAUAUCAUGGAUUGAGGAUUAUAGCAGGUUCGCCUGUCUUGAUCUUCGAGAAGUGAAGUAAAUCCUAUCAUUUAGAGGAAGGAGAAGUCGUAACA